GCCACUUUAGCUCAGUCGGUAGAGCGGCUCACUCGUAAUGAGCAGGUCGGCAGUUCGAUUCUGCCAAGUGGCUCCC
RNAcentral lists this transfer RNA (76 nucleotides) under Pseudoscardovia radai. Its description in RNAcentral is "tRNA-Thr". It matches the Rfam family "tRNA". Rfam says of the family: Transfer RNA (tRNA) molecules are approximately 80 nucleotides in length. Their secondary structure includes four short double-helical elements and three loops (D, anti-codon, and T loops). The record is from RNAcentral. Lineage: Bacteria; Bacillati; Actinomycetota; Actinomycetes; Bifidobacteriales; Bifidobacteriaceae.